Molecule: long non-coding RNA, 478 nt
Organism: Phragmites australis (common reed)
Lineage: Eukaryota; Viridiplantae; Streptophyta; Magnoliopsida; Poales; Poaceae
Exons: 3
Source: RefSeq, a predicted model, not a curated record
GGUGCUGGAAAAGUAAUUUGUGGAUUGGACCUCGGCAUUUCUGGUAUGCGUGUUGGUGGCAAAAGGAAACUUACCAUUCCUCCCGCUCUGGGCCAUGGGGACAAAUCAGUAGGAAACAUACCAGCAAACUCAUGGCUCAUCUAUGAAGUCGAGUUAACGGAAGUGAAGCGGUGCAAAAAUGCGUCUGCUAAGGCUUGUGUAAAUCCAUGCUAGAUGAAGGCAAGGCAGCAGAGAUGGCUUCUUUUGGUUCGCUUUUAGCAGCAAACUCUCAGAAGAAAUUAGUGUGAUCUUUUGUGCAGUACUCUAAGAUGGCUGGUACCCUAUCUCUAAGAUGGCCGGUAAACUUAUUAGCAACCAUCCUUCUAUGGUGUUGUUUUGGUGGAGAUUGCUGCCUGUGUAUAUAGAAUAGCAUCACUAAGCGUAGCGCUCAACUAUAACUGUUCCAUGUGCCUAGUCUGCUGUGUGCUCCAGCCUCCUG